CAAGCGUGAGGUAAGAGCAUUUGGUGGAUGCCUUGGCAUGUGCAGGCGAUGAAGGACGUGGCACGCUGCGAUAAGCGUCGGGGAGAUGUGAGCAAUCUUUGAUCCGGCGAUUUCCGAAUGGGGAAACCCACCCUCACCAUUUCCUUUCGAUUGUUUUCGGACAGUCGGAAAGAGGUGGAUAGGGUAUCACCAGACUGAAUACAUAGGUUUGGUGAAGCGAACCCGGGGAACUGAAACAUCUCAGUACCCGGAGGAAAAGACAUCAACAGAGAUUCCCGUAGUAGUGGCGAGCGAACCGGGACCAGGCCAGUGCCUUCAUUUCAACUAGCAAAACACUUUGGAAAGAGUGGCCAUAGCGGGUGACAGCCCCGUAUGCGAAAGUGAUGAUGAAGGACUCGAGUAGGGCGGGACACGUGAAAUCCUGUCUGAACAUGGGGGGACCACCCUCCAAGCCUAAAUACUCGCACAUGACCGAUAGCGAACACAGUACCGUGAGGGAAAGGUGAAAAGCACCCCGAUUAGGGGAGUGAAACAGUACCUGAAACCGGAUGCUUACAAGCAGUUGGAGCCCCAUAGGGGGUGACAGCGUACCUCUUGCAUAAUGGGUCAGUGACUUAAUCUACCAUGCAAGCUUAAGCCGUUAGGUGUAGGCGCAGCGAAAGCGAGUCUGAAUAGGGCGACUGAGUAUGAUGGAUUAGACCCGAACCCCGGCGAUCUAGGCAUGGCCAGGUUGAAGGUGCAGUAACAUGCACUGGAGGACCGAACCGGUGAAUGUUGAAAAAUUCUCGGAUGAGCUGUGUUUAGGGGUGAAAGGCCAAUCAAGCCGGGAAAUAGCUGGUUCUCCGCGAAAUCUAUUGAGGUAGAGCGUCGGAUGUAUGCCGAUGGGGGUAGAGCACUGGAUGGGCUAGGGCUGCGCGAGCGGUACCAAACCUAACCAAACUCCGAAUACCAUCGAGUCUUAUCCGGCAGACAGACGGCGGGUGCUAAGGUCCGUCGUCAAAAGGGAAACAGCCCUAACCUACAGCUAAGGUCCCCAAGUCAUAUCUAAGUGGGAAAGCAUGUGGGAAUCCCAAAACAACCAGGAGGUUGGCUUAGAAGCAGCCAUCCUUUAAAGAAAGCGUAACAGCUCACUGGUCUAAACAAGGGUUCCUGCGGCGAAGAUGUAACGGGGCUAAAGAUAUGCACCGAAGCUUAGGGUUCAGAAUUUAUUCUGAGCGGUAGCGGAGCGUUCCGUAAGCGAGUGAAGGCGAAGGGUAACCGACGCUGGACGUAUCGGAAGUGCGAAUGCUGACAUGAGUAGCGACAAACAGGGUGAGAUGCCCUGUCGCCGAAAGACCAAGGGUUCCUGCGCAACGCUAAUCGGCGCAGGGUUAGCCGGCCCCUAAGACGAGCCCGAAGGGGGUAGUCGAUGGGAACCACGUAAAUAUUCGUGGGCCUGAAGAUGUGUGACGGAUCGUGGAAGUUGUUUUCUCUUAUUGGAUUGAGAGGGCAGCCAAGCGGUUCCAGGAAAUAGCCUCUUCACUAUAGACCGUACCCGAAACCGACACAGGUGGUCAGGUAGAGUAUACCAAGGCGCUUGAGAGAAGUAUCCUGAAGGAACUCGGCAAAUUGCCUCCGUACCUUCGGAAGAAGGAGGCCCCAUAUCGACGCAAGUCUUUGUGGGGGGCACAGGCCAGGGGGUAGCGACUGUUUAGCAAAAACACAGCACUCUGCUAAGUCGGCUUCAAGACGACGUAUAGGGUGUGACGCCUGCCCGGUGCUCGAAGGUUAAGAGGAGGAGUGCAAGCUCCGAAUUGAAGCCCGAGUAAACGGCGGCCGUAACUAUAACGGUCCUAAGGUAGCGAAAUUCCUUGUCGGGUAAGUUCCGACCUGCACGAAUGGCGUAACGACUUCCCCACUGUCUCCAGGAUAUGCUCAGCGAAAUUGAAUUCUCCGUGAAGAUGCGGAGUACCCGCGGUUAGACGGAAAGACCCCGUGCACCUUUACUGCAGCUUCAGAGUGGCAUUAGGAAAUUACUGUGUAGAAUAGGUGGGAGGCUUUGAAACAUCGGCGCCAGCUGGUGUGGAGCCAACCUGUGAAAUACCACCCUGUGAUUUUCUGAUGUCUAACCACGCACCGUUAUCCGGUGUUGGGACCCUCUGUGGCGGGUAGUUUGACUGGGGCGGUCGCCUCCUAAAGAGUAACGGAGGCGCGCGAUGGUAUGCUCAGGACGGUUGGAAACCGUCUGCAAGAGUGCAAUGGCAUAAGCAUGCCUGACUGCGAGACCGACAGGUCGAGCAGAGACGAAAGUCGGUCAUAGUGAUCCGGUGGUCCCUCGUGGAAGGGCCAUCGCUCAACGGAUAAAAGGUACGCCGGGGAUAACAGGCUGAUGAUUCCCAAGAGCUCAUAUCGACGGAAUCGUUUGGCACCUCGAUGUCGGCUCAUCACAUCCUGGGGCUGGAGCAGGUCCCAAGGGUUUGGCUGUUCGCCAAUUAAAGUGGUACGUGAGCUGGGUUCAGAACGUCGCGAGACAGUUUGGUCCCUAUCUGCCGUGGGCGUCGAUUGUUGAAAGGAGUUGCCCCUAGUACGAGAGGACCGGGGUGAACAUACCUCUGGUGUACCUGUCAUCCUGCCAAGGGUGCCGCAGGGUAGCUAUGUAUGGACGGGAUAACCGCUGAAAGCAUCUAAGCGGGAAGCCUCCCUUGAGAUAAGCAAUCUUCGAACCGUCAUAGACCAUGACGUUGAUAGGCCGGGUGUGGAAGCGCAGUAAUGCGUGUAGCUAACCGGUCCUAAUAGUUCUUUUCGCGCUUGUA
RNAcentral lists this ribosomal RNA (2792 nucleotides) under Qipengyuania citrea. RNAcentral describes it as "23S ribosomal RNA". It matches the Rfam family "Bacterial large subunit ribosomal RNA". RNAcentral also lists the same sequence under 2 other names. Lineage: Bacteria; Pseudomonadati; Pseudomonadota; Alphaproteobacteria; Sphingomonadales; Erythrobacteraceae. The record is from RNAcentral.